UACGGGGGGAGCAAGCGUUGUUCGGAAUUACUGGGCGUAAAGGGCGCGUAGGCGGUCAGGUAAGUGAGAUGUGAAACCCUCCGGCUCACCCGGAGAAAUGCAUCUCAUACUGCUUGACUAGAGUUCGGGAGAGGAAUCGGGAAUUCCAGGUGUAGCGGUGAAAUGCGUAGAUAUCUGGAGGAACACCGGUGGCGAAGGCGCGAUUCUGGCCCGAUACUGACGCUGAGGCGCGAAAGCCAGGGGAGCAAACGGG
This 253-nucleotide ribosomal RNA is filed under the name uncultured bacterium. RNAcentral's name for it is "partial 16S ribosomal RNA". It matches the Rfam family "Bacterial small subunit ribosomal RNA", at positions 524 to 776 of the family's 1533-position model. The record is from RNAcentral.